This 339-nucleotide ribosomal RNA is filed under the name uncultured bacterium. Its description in RNAcentral is "bacterial SSU rRNA". It matches the Rfam family "Bacterial small subunit ribosomal RNA", at positions 1136 to 1472 of the family's 1533-position model. The record is from RNAcentral.
CACUCUAAGGGGACUGCCGGUGAUAAGCCGAGAGGAAGGUGGGGAUGACGUCAAGUCCUCAUGGCCCUUACGGGCUGGGCUACACACGUGCUACAAUGGUGGUGACAGUGGGCAGCGAGACCGCGAGGUCGAGCUAAUCUCCAAAAGCCAUCUCAGUUCGGAUUGCACUCUGCAACUCGAGUGCAUGAAGUUGGAAUCGCUAGUAAUCGCAGAUCAGCAUGCUGCGGUGAAUACGUUCCCGGGCCUUGUACACACCGCCCGUCACACCAUGGGAGUUGGUUUUACCCGAAGGCGCUGCGCCAACCCGCAAGGGAAGCAGGCGACCACGGUAGGGUCAGC